AGUGAACGCUGGCGGCGUCGUUAACACAUGCAAGUCGAACGGAUCAAGUAGCUUGCUAUUUGGUUAGUGGCGCACGGGUGAGUAAUGUAUAGCUAACCUGCCCUUUAUGGGGGACAACAGUUGGAAACGACUGCUAAUACCCCAUACUCCUUCUUGCCAUAAGGUGAGUCGGGAAAGAUUUAUUGCUAAAGGAUGGGGCUUUAUUGUAUCAGCUAGUUGGUGGGGUAACGGCCUACCAAGGCUAUGACGCAUACCUGGUCUGAGAGGAUGAUCAGGCACACUGGAACUGAGACACGGUCCAGACUCCUACGGGAGGCAGCAGUGGGGAAUAUUGCACAAUGGAGGAAACUCUGAUGCAGCAACGCCGCGUGGAGGAUGACGCAUUCGGUGUGUAAACUCCUUUUAUAAGGGAAGAUAAUGACGGUACCUUAUGAAUAAGCACCGGCUAACUCCGUG
Molecule: ribosomal RNA, 456 nt
Filed under: uncultured bacterium
Lineage: Bacteria
Description: bacterial SSU rRNA
Rfam family: Bacterial small subunit ribosomal RNA
Source: RNAcentral